RNAcentral lists this unclassified non-coding RNA (341 nucleotides) under soil metagenome. Its description in RNAcentral is "partial contains 5.8S ribosomal RNA, internal transcribed spacer 2, and large subunit ribosomal RNA". The stretch from base 1 to 120 matches the Rfam family "5.8S ribosomal RNA", at positions 35 to 154 of the family's 154-position model. The record is from RNAcentral.
GAUGAAGAAGGUAGCGAAAUGCGAUAAGUAGUGUGAAUUGCAGAAUUCAGUGAAUCAUCGAAUCUUUGAACGCACAUUGCGCCCUUUGGUAUUCCAAAGGGCAUGCCUGUUCGAGCGUCAUUUGUACCCUCAAGCUUUGCUUGGUGUUGGGCGUCUUGUCUCUAGCUUUGCUGGAGACUCGCCUUAAAGUAAUUGGCAGCCGGCCUACUGGUUUCGGAGCGCAGCACAAGUCGCACUCUCUAUCAGCAAAGGUCUAGCAUCCAUUAAGCCUUUUUUUCAACUUUUGACCUCGGAUCAGGUAGGGAUACCCGCUGAACUUAAGCAUAUCAAUAAGCGGAGGA